RNAcentral lists this ribosomal RNA (505 nucleotides) under Alteromonadales bacterium HD-C-03-4. Its description in RNAcentral is "bacterial SSU rRNA". It matches the Rfam family "Bacterial small subunit ribosomal RNA", at positions 30 to 521 of the family's 1533-position model. The record is from RNAcentral. Lineage: Bacteria; Pseudomonadati; Pseudomonadota; Gammaproteobacteria; Alteromonadales.
AUUGAACGCUGGCGGNAGUCUUAACACAUGCAAGUCGACCGGUAACAGGAACUAGCUCGCUAUUCUGCUGACGAGUGGCGGACGGGUGAGUAUGCUUGGGAAUUUGCCUUGUUGCGGGGGACAACAGUUGGAAACGACUGCUAAUACCGCAUAAUGUCUCCGGACCAAAGGUGGCCUCUAUUUAUAUGCUAUCGCGACAAGAUGAGCCCAAGUGGGAUUAGCUAGUUGGUAAGGUAAUGGCUUACCAAGGCUUCGAUCCCUAGCUGGUCUUAGAGGAUGACCAGCCACACUGGAACUGAGACACGGUCCAGACUCCUACGGGAGGCAGCAGUGGGGAAUAUUGCACAAUGGAGGAAACUCUGAUGCAGCCAUGCCGCGUGUGUGAAGAAGGCUUUCGGGUUGUAAAGCACUUUCAGCGAGGAGGAAAGGGUAAUGGUUAAUAUCCAUUAUCUGUGACGUUACUCGCAGAAGAAGCACCGGCUAACUCCGUGCCAGCAGCCGCGGU